This is a long non-coding RNA of Drosophila nasuta, 771 nucleotides long. RefSeq lists it as uncharacterized. The record is from RefSeq and is a predicted model, not a curated record. Lineage: Eukaryota; Metazoa; Arthropoda; Insecta; Diptera; Drosophilidae. The transcript is spliced from 3 exons.
AAUAACAAUUACUAAUAGAGUGACGCCCCUAACUACUUAUGUAUAUAAUUAACCACACAAAAUAUUUAUUAUAUAAUCAAAAAUUUACGUUUAUAAAUAACGCAAAAUUUCCCAAAAUCAAAUCAGUUAUUAUGGAAAAUACAGUUAAUAAGCGUUGGUUAUUUUUCGAAAUAGUGAUCUUGCUGCUAGGAGUCACAGCUGCAGUGCACUAUCGGGUAGAAUUUGAAAAUGAAGAUCUAUUUUCCCCAUGUGCUCAUCUAUCAGACAAAGUCAAGGAUAUUCGAGAAUUUUUGGAUUUUUCAGAGCUACAAAUAAAAGAUGUUGACAAUAAACUAAUGAUAUCAGGAAAUAUCUCAUCUAACUGGAAUUACGACCCAACCGAUCGCCUUGAAACUACUUCAACGUUGUAUCGUUUUGAACGUCGAGAAUGGGUCAAUACCGUAAUAAGCGCUAGAUUUAACGAUUUGUGUAAUGAGUUGUUUGAUGAACGAAAGCAAUGGUACAUGUUUUGGACUAAGCAUGUAAUCAAUAUUGAUGACGUGAAGAAGACAUGCUUUUUAAAAGGCUCAAAAUUUAUUCAUAAAACAUUUACAACAGAUGGGGGCACGGAUUUACAAUUGAUUGUCCCCCAAGGACGACAUAAGCUGGUAGUCCUGAUAAAACCGAUUGAUAAAAAUCUCACAGUAAGAUAUCCAAUCUUAUGUUUUGAAAUUGUUGGCGAAAUUAUAAGAGAAUAAGUGCAUGUGUAUUCGUAACAACAAUAAAUAUCAA